This 439-nucleotide ribosomal RNA is filed under the name uncultured bacterium. RNAcentral describes it as "partial 16S ribosomal RNA". It matches the Rfam family "Bacterial small subunit ribosomal RNA", at positions 338 to 795 of the family's 1533-position model. The record is from RNAcentral.
CCUACGGGGGGCAGCAGUAGGGAAUAUUGCUCAAUGGGGGAAACCCUGAAGCAGCAACGCCGCGUGGAGGAUGAAGGUUUUCGGAUUGUAAACUCCUUUUGUUAGAGAAGAUAAUGACGGUAUCUAACGAAUAAGCCCCGGCUAACUCCGUGCCAGCAGCCGCGGUAGUACGGAGGAUGCGAGCGUUAUCCGGAUUUAUUGGGGUUAAGGGGUGCGCAGGCGGAUUUUUAAGUAAGCGGUCAAAUCGUGGGGCUCAACCCCGUCCAGCCGUUAAAACUGGGGAUCUAGAGUGUGCGAGAGGUAUGCGGAAUGCGUGGUGUAGCGGUGAAAUGCAUAGAUAUCACGCAGAACCCCGAUGGCGAAGGCAGCAUACCGGUGCAAAACUGACGCUCAGGCACGAAAGCGUGGGUAUCGAACAGGAUUAGAUACCCUUGUAGUC